GGUGGCUCAGUGGUAGAAUGCUUGCCUUGAAUGCAUGAGGCCCUGGGUUUGAUUCCCCAGCACCA
RNAcentral lists this transfer RNA (65 nucleotides) under Dipodomys ordii (Ord's kangaroo rat). It matches the Rfam family "tRNA". From Rfam's summary of the family: Transfer RNA (tRNA) molecules are approximately 80 nucleotides in length. Their secondary structure includes four short double-helical elements and three loops (D, anti-codon, and T loops). The record is from Rfam by way of RNAcentral. Lineage: Eukaryota; Metazoa; Chordata; Mammalia; Rodentia; Heteromyidae.